Molecule: ribosomal RNA, 443 nt
Filed under: uncultured Bacteroidota bacterium
Lineage: Bacteria; Pseudomonadati; Bacteroidota
Description: bacterial SSU rRNA
Rfam family: Bacterial small subunit ribosomal RNA
Source: RNAcentral
GGGCCCGCACAAGCGGAGGAACAUGUGGUUUAAUUCGAUGAUACGCGAGGAACCUUACCCGGGCUUGAAAUGCAUCUGACCGUCCAAGAGAUUGGACUUCUAGCAAUAGCAGAUGCGUAGGUGCUGCAUGGUUGUCGUCAGCUCGUGCCGUGAGGUGUCGGCUUAAGUGCCAUAACGAGCGCAACCCACAUUGUAAGUUACUAACAGGUAAAGCUGAGGACUCUGACAAGACUGCCGGCGUAAGCCGCGAGGAAGGUGUGGAUGACGUCAAAUCAGCACGGCCCUUACGUCCGGGGCUACACACGUGUUACAAUGGAUGGUACAGAGGGUCGCUACCGUGCGAACGGAUGCCAAUCUCGAAAGCCAUUCCCCAGUUCGGAUUGGAGUCUGCAACUCGACUCCAUGAAGCUGGAUUCGCUAGUAAUCGCGCAUCAGCCAUGGCG